This 501-nucleotide ribosomal RNA is filed under the name uncultured Actinomycetes bacterium. RNAcentral describes it as "bacterial SSU rRNA". It matches the Rfam family "Bacterial small subunit ribosomal RNA", at positions 8 to 522 of the family's 1533-position model. Lineage: Bacteria; Bacillati; Actinomycetota; Actinomycetes. The record is from RNAcentral.
AGAGUUUGAUCAUGGCUCAGGACGAACGCUGGCGGCGUGCUUAACACAUGCAAGUCGAGCGGAAAGGCCACUUCGGUGGUACUCGAGCGGCGAACGGGUGAGUAACACGUGAGUAAUCUGCCCUUCACUUCGGGAUAGCCCUGGGAAACUGGGAUUAAUACCGGAUACGACCGGCGCCUGCAUGGGUUGUUGGUGGAAAGUUUUUUCGGUGGAGGAUGUGCUCGCGGCCUAUCAGCUUGUUGGUGGGGUAAUGGCCUACCAAGGCUUCGACGGGUAGCCGGCCUGAGAGGGUGACCGGCCACACUGGGACUGAGACACGGCCCAGACUCCUACGGGAGGCAGCAGUGGGGAAUAUUGGACAAUGGGCGGAAGCCUGAUCCAGCAACGCCGCGUGAGGGAUGACGGCCUUCGGGUUGUAAACCUCUUUCAGCGGGGACGAAGCGCAAGUGACGGUACCCGCAGAAGAAGCACGGAUCUAACUACGUGCCAGCAGCCGCGGUA